Molecule: small nucleolar RNA, 183 nt
Organism: Oryctolagus cuniculus (rabbit)
Lineage: Eukaryota; Metazoa; Chordata; Mammalia; Lagomorpha; Leporidae
Gene: SNORA73
Rfam family: Small nucleolar RNA SNORA73 family
About the family: U17 (SNORA73A and SNORA73B) also known as E1 belongs to the H/ACA class of small nucleolar RNAs (snoRNAs). Vertebrate U17 is intron-encoded and ranges in length from 200-230 nucleotides, longer than most snoRNAs.
Source: Ensembl
CCACUGUGGAUGCCCUGGGAGGGCGCUCUCCCUGGCUCUGUCCAGGGGCUUUGUCCUGUGCUGUACAGCCCCUCCCCACAACGCUGGAGAUGACGCGGGCCUGGCGUCUGCGCCUGCAAUUCCUGCAGCUUCCCCGAGUCCUGCGGGCGAUGGCUGCGGAGAUGAGCCGUGCAGGAAACACGU